CGCCCUGGGUUAGUCGGGACCUAAGCUGAGGCCGAAAGGCGUAGGUGAUGGACAACAGGUUGAUAUUCCUGUACUACCGAUAACCGUUUGAGAGAAGGGAUGACACAGUAGGAUAAGCUAAGCACACGGUUGGUUAUGUGUGCCCAAGCAUUGAGGCAGUCAAAGUAGGCAAAUCCGCUUUGAUAAUGCUGGGAUGUGAUGGGGAGCGAAAUUUAGUAGCGAA
This 223-nucleotide ribosomal RNA is filed under the name Clostridioides difficile. RNAcentral describes it as "partial 23S ribosomal RNA". It matches the Rfam family "Bacterial large subunit ribosomal RNA", at positions 1371 to 1589 of the family's 2925-position model. Lineage: Bacteria; Bacillati; Bacillota; Clostridia; Peptostreptococcales; Peptostreptococcaceae. The record is from RNAcentral.